RNAcentral lists this ribosomal RNA (253 nucleotides) under uncultured bacterium. RNAcentral describes it as "partial 16S ribosomal RNA". It matches the Rfam family "Bacterial small subunit ribosomal RNA", at positions 524 to 776 of the family's 1533-position model. The record is from RNAcentral.
UACGAAGGGUGCAAGCGUUACUCGGAAUUACUGGGCGUAAAGCGUGCGCAGGCGGUCUCUUAAGACAGGUGUGAAAUCCCCGAGCUUAACUUGGGAACUGCGCUUGUAACUGAGAGGCUUGAGUGUGCCAGAGGGGGGUGGAAUUCCACGUGUAGCAGUGAAAUGCGUAGAUAUCUGGAGGAACACCGGUGGCGAAGGCGGCAUCCUGGACCAAUAUUGACGCUGAGGAGCGAAAGCCAGGGGAGCAAACGGG